UACGGAAGGUGCAAGCGUUGUUCGGAAUGACUGGGCGUAAAGCGCACGUAGGCGGGUUUGUAAGUCGGGUGUGAAAGCCCCAAGCUCAACUUGGGAACAGCACUCGAAACUGUGAAUCUUGAAUGCUUGAGAGGUUGGUAGAAUUCCUGGUGUAGGAGUGAAAUCCGUAGAUAUCAGGAGGAAUAUCGGAGGCGAAGGCGGCCAACUGGCGAUGCAUUGACGCUGAGGUGCGAAAGCGUGGGGAGCAAACAGG
This 253-nucleotide ribosomal RNA is filed under the name uncultured bacterium. RNAcentral describes it as "partial 16S ribosomal RNA". It matches the Rfam family "Bacterial small subunit ribosomal RNA", at positions 524 to 776 of the family's 1533-position model. The record is from RNAcentral.